GAUGAUGUUGGGGUCGUCCAGCCGAGACAUGAUCUUGAUCUCCUUCAAGAAGUCGUUCCUGAGGGUUGAAGGGACAAAGACGCUCGCUUGAGAGCUGUUGACAGAUGAUCUUCACAGCCAGAGAGGAGCAGCUCGGUUUCAAGUGACAGGGACAUGGACUUCCAACAAGCUCACUCCUGAUUGGCGAGGGUGGUCACCAUAGAAACGAUGACUCAUACAGACUUGGACCAAUCACUGCUUACUGACAUCACCUAGAUUCAACAAGGUGGUGUCUAUUUGUUGGAGUGUAACAUAUCACAAAACUCAAGGUUUUAGGGUCACGGUUCGGAUCAUCUAUCGGAUCAGUAAAAAGUUAAAAAAAAAAAAAAAAAA
Oryzias melastigma (Indian medaka) is the source of this 372-nucleotide long non-coding RNA. RefSeq lists it as uncharacterized. The record is from RefSeq and is a predicted model, not a curated record. The transcript has 2 exons. NCBI's taxonomy places the organism in Eukaryota, Metazoa, Chordata, Actinopteri, Beloniformes, Adrianichthyidae.